RNAcentral lists this ribosomal RNA (253 nucleotides) under uncultured bacterium. RNAcentral's name for it is "partial 16S ribosomal RNA". It matches the Rfam family "Bacterial small subunit ribosomal RNA", at positions 524 to 776 of the family's 1533-position model. The record is from RNAcentral.
UACAGAGGUCUCGAGCGUUCAACGGAUUCAUUGAGCUUAAAGCGUACGUAGGCGGGUGUGCAGGCGUCGUGUGAAAGCCCUCGGCUCAACCGAGGAAUUGCACGGCGAACCGCACAUCUUGAGACAAGUAGGGGCGGUCGGAACGAUAGGUGGAGUGGUGAAAUGCGUUGAUAUCUAUCGGAACGCCGAUGGUGAAGACAGGCCGCUGGGCUUGUUCUGACGCUGAGGUACGAAAGCAUGGGUAGCGAACGGG